Molecule: long non-coding RNA, 592 nt
Filed under: Mus pahari (shrew mouse)
Lineage: Eukaryota; Metazoa; Chordata; Mammalia; Rodentia; Muridae
Description: lncRNA (MGP_PahariEiJ_G0005823.1)
Source: RNAcentral
CUGUGUGUCAGGCACCUGUCUCUGUGCAUGGGGCUCACUGUUCUGUCCCUUGUAGAGUUUUCUACUGGGUCUCCAGAGCAAGCUUCACUCAACCAAAACAGGUUGCCUUUCAGGGCUGCACAGCAUACCACCUUGCUGGGAUCAAAAAGGGCUCUUCACUUUUGUUUAUGAUUAAGUUAAUUCACCUUGAGACAUAUUAUUCUUUACAGUGUGGCUCUUGACAUAUGCUCCAUUCACACUGAGUAAGAUCUGUUUUGGGCCAGUCUUUGAAGUCCGACCCUUCUGCAUGCUUACCCAGUAUAUGUGCAUACCAGGAGCUUCUGAUAGGCUCUUGGGAGUAGCAACUCUUUUCUCACUGUCUUCUGGACUAUUUUCUCCAUUCUAGUGUCAACUCCUCUCCAAACAGCAUAAGGAUGCAGGACUCCAAGGCGAAGGCAGCAAGAAAAGAAAUCCUUUCAUAGUCAAGUAUUUGAUUUGGAAUUUGAUGCACAGUAUUUCUCAGGUUGAAAAAAAAAAUCUAACAAACAGACAUAUUGGCAGGGGGUGGGGGCGGUUACACCUUAUCCUCAGAUUAAUCAAACAGAAGAAUUUA